RNAcentral lists this ribosomal RNA (402 nucleotides) under uncultured bacterium. RNAcentral's name for it is "bacterial SSU rRNA". It matches the Rfam family "Bacterial small subunit ribosomal RNA", at positions 355 to 773 of the family's 1533-position model. The record is from RNAcentral.
UAGGGAAUAUUGCAAAAUGGGCGAAAGCCCGAUGCAGCAACGCCGCGUGGGCGAUGAAGGCCUUCGGGUCGUAAAGCCCUUUUUGAGGGGAUGAGGAAGGACAGUACCCUCAGAAUAAGCCUCGGCUAACUACGUGCCAGCAGCCGCGGUAAAACGUAGGAGGCGAGCGUUAUCCGGAUUUACUGGGCGUAAAGCGCGUGCAGGCGGAUUGGAGAGUUGGAUGUGAAAGCUCCCGGCUUAACUGGGAGAGGUCGUUCAAUACUUCCAGUCUUGAGUGCAGUAGAGGGAAGUGGAAUUCCGGGUGUAGUGGUGAAAUGCGUAGAUAUCCGGAGGAACACCAGUGGCGAAAGCGGCUUCCUAGACUGUAACUGACGCUCAGACGCGAAAGCUAGGGUAGCAAAC